Sceloporus undulatus (fence lizard) is the source of this 1678-nucleotide long non-coding RNA. RefSeq lists it as uncharacterized. The record is from RefSeq and is a predicted model, not a curated record. Lineage: Eukaryota; Metazoa; Chordata; Lepidosauria; Squamata; Phrynosomatidae. The transcript has 3 exons.
GACAAGAGGCUGCAUCAGGCUGCAUCCACACUGGAGAAAGAACCGGGUAGGAACUGUCUGGCCCUCUAAGAUGCUGUUGUGUGUCAAUUUCCAGCAGGCUUAUAUCAGCAAAUACAGAUGAAGAUACCUGGUAGUUUCAGUUCUGCAAUAGCUGGUGGACCACACAUUUCCACCCCUGCUUUAAAAGAUCUGUCCUGUAUUACUUUACACCAGUGGUGCUCAAUUUUUUAUCUUCAUGGAUAAAAAGAUAAAAAUUCUGAAGAUGAAUAGUUCACUCUGUCCCAGAAUAAAUGGAGGAGUUAUCCAUAAGAUCAGUUCAAAGAAGAUAUUUAUGGUUCAUUGUCUCUUGCAGCACUGACGCACAAGGUCUGCACUGAAAAGAAAUUUCACAACUGUCUACCACUGCUGGGAUGAGCAACUUGAUACCAUUAUGGUUUACUCUCUCCCAGUUAUUUACAGAAAGACUAGAUAAAUGGGAGAUGCUUAUCAUGUAAAAAGGAGAAUUGAAGAAGACCUAUAAAUUUGGCAAAGCCUACACAAGUAUUUUUAAGAAGGAUGUUGUAGAUAUUGUUGUUUAAACAUGGGGGUUGUCCCAAAGCACAUAACUCUGGGGUUGUCUGUAAUAGGCUAAAAGAAACUGCCCACCCACCUUCUGAAACACAUGUGGCCAAAAUGGGAGAAAAACGGAUACAAGCUGCACUCCAGGGAUUAACACCAGAGCAAAAAACAUCCUGAUUGGAAGCUAGAAAGUACAAACUACUGCAGACUGCCCAUCAUUGUGGAAGCAGUAAGGAGCAGGUGUCAUUGGUGAGCCACCAGUGCCAUCGCUGACCAUAUUUUUUUCAUUGCCCAAGAAUCAUUUGCACAAGCACACAAAUGGGCAACUGCACCAUCAACUCACUGCACAUCAAUUUAUCAACAUUACAAUGAAUUUAAUAACAGUAACUGGGUACACUGGCAUGCUAUACAGGAAGUUGAUUGAUCAUGCAGUCAACUGGCCAGUCACACAGGUUGUCUGAUGGGCUUGGAUUGGGUGGGAUGGGGGAUGAUUGGCAGCUGCUCUUGGAGCAUCUGUGCAAUUGUGCACAUGCAUUUGUGAUGGAACAGAAAAAAUAAUGGUGCACCAUAGCUUGUAGCCACAAAAUGCUCCAUUUUAGUGGGUCCUUCCUUGCAGUGGAAGGGAGAUGGUGUGGACUGUGCAUCAGUUCUCAUCCCAUUGUGGGAUUAUGCAAUCAACUGGCCAGUCACACAGGUCAUCCGAUGGGCCACAUUGGCAGGUUCUCCCCAUGAAUCAUAAAAUCCCUAGGGUAAACCAGCUUUUCACUGCGGUCUGCACCCAGCCUCUGUUAGUAGCACAUGACUAACUGGGUAACUGAGGGCCCUGGAUAACUGAGAGUUGUAGUCCAAAACAGCAACAUUUCCAAGUUCUACAGAAAGGUAAACCAAAGAAUAACCCAUCACUCAAAGUGUGGCACCUAAACAUUCACUGUCUCCCUAUCCCAUCAAAAUCCUCCCAGAAUGUGAUCAAACACCUAUAGUGUUUCUUCCUCUGACUGGCUAUCAGGAAACUGCACUAGAUAAAUAUUACUUUAUAAAACAGAUAGGAAUACAGAAUACACAAUAGGUAUGGGUGUCGACUUCACAACAGCAUCUGCAGCUCUCACUACUGACAAUUCAC